Molecule: ribosomal RNA, 522 nt
Filed under: uncultured bacterium
Lineage: Bacteria
Description: bacterial SSU rRNA
Rfam family: Bacterial small subunit ribosomal RNA
Source: RNAcentral
AGAGUUUGAUUCUGGCUCAGGACGAACGCUGGCGGCGUGCCUAACACAUGCAAGUCGAGCGGGGACAUACGACGGAGUCAAAGUUUCGGAUGGAGACGAAGAUGUAUGUUCUAGCGGCGGACGGGUGAGUAACGCGUGAGCAACCUGUCCCUUACAGGGGGAUAACACAGCGAAAGUUGUACUAAUACCGCAUGAGACCACGGGGAGACAUCUUCCAGGGGUCAAAGGAGCAAUCCGGUAAGGGGUGGGCUCGCGUCCGAUUAGAUAGUUGGUGAGGUAACGGCCCACCAAGUCGACGAUCGGUAGCCGACCUGAGAGGGUGAUCGGCCACAUUGGGACUGAGACACGGCCCAAACUCCUACGGGAGGCAGCAGUGGGGAAUAUUGGGCAAUGGGGGAAACCCUGACCCAGCAACGCCGCGUGAGGGAAGAAGGUUUUCGGAUCGUAAACCUCUGUCCUUGGUGAAGAGGAAGAGACGGUAGCCAAGGAGGAAGCCCCGGCUAACUACGUGCCAGCAGCCGC